RNAcentral lists this ribosomal RNA (2904 nucleotides) under Escherichia coli. Its description in RNAcentral is "23S ribosomal RNA". It matches the Rfam family "Bacterial large subunit ribosomal RNA". The record is from RNAcentral. Lineage: Bacteria; Pseudomonadati; Pseudomonadota; Gammaproteobacteria; Enterobacterales; Enterobacteriaceae.
GGUUAAGCGACUAAGCGUACACGGUGGAUGCCCUGGCAGUCAGAGGCGAUGAAGGACGUGCUAAUCUGCGAUAAGCGUCGGUAAGGUGAUAUGAACCGUUAUAACCGGCGAUUUCCGAAUGGGGAAACCCAGUGUGUUUCGACAUACUAUCAUUAACUGAAUCCAUAGGUUAAUGAGGCGAACCGGGGGAACUGAAACAUCUAAGUACCCCGAGGAAAAGAAAUCAACCGAGAUUCCCCCAGUAGCGGCGAGCGAACGGGGAGGAGCCCAGAGCCUGAAUCAGUGUGUGUGUUAGUGGAAGCGUCUGGAAAGGCGCGCGAUACAGGGUGACAGCCCCGUACACAAAAAUGCACAUGCUGUGAGCUCGAUGAGUAGGGCGGGACACGUGGUAUCCUGUCUGAAUAUGGGGGGACCAUCCUCCAAGGCUAAAUACUCCUGACUGACCGAUAGUGAACCAGUACCGUGAGGGAAAGGCGAAAAGAACCCCGGCGAGGGGAGUGAAAAAGAACCUGAAACCGUGUACGUACAAGCAGUGGGAGCCUCUUUAUGGGGUGACUGCGUACCUUUUGUAUAAUGGGUCAGCGACUUAUAUUCUGUAGCAAGGUUAACCGAAUAGGGGAGCCGAAGGGAAACCGAGUCUUAACUGGGCGUUAAGUUGCAGGGUAUAGACCCGAAACCCGGUGAUCUAGCCAUGGGCAGGUUGAAGGUUGGGUAACACUAACUGGAGGACCGAACCGACUAAUGUUGAAAAAUUAGCGGAUGACUUGUGGCUGGGGGUGAAAGGCCAAUCAAACCGGGAGAUAGCUGGUUCUCCCCGAAAGCUAUUUAGGUAGCGCCUCGUGAAUUCAUCUCCGGGGGUAGAGCACUGUUUCGGCAAGGGGGUCAUCCCGACUUACCAACCCGAUGCAAACUGCGAAUACCGGAGAAUGUUAUCACGGGAGACACACGGCGGGUGCUAACGUCCGUCGUGAAGAGGGAAACAACCCAGACCGCCAGCUAAGGUCCCAAAGUCAUGGUUAAGUGGGAAACGAUGUGGGAAGGCCCAGACAGCCAGGAUGUUGGCUUAGAAGCAGCCAUCAUUUAAAGAAAGCGUAAUAGCUCACUGGUCGAGUCGGCCUGCGCGGAAGAUGUAACGGGGCUAAACCAUGCACCGAAGCUGCGGCAGCGACACUAUGUGUUGUUGGGUAGGGGAGCGUUCUGUAAGCCUGCGAAGGUGUACUGUGAGGUAUGCUGGAGGUAUCAGAAGUGCGAAUGCUGACAUAAGUAACGAUAAAGCGGGUGAAAAGCCCGCUCGCCGGAAGACCAAGGGUUCCUGUCCAACGUUAAUCGGGGCAGGGUGAGUCGACCCCUAAGGCGAGGCCGAAAGGCGUAGUCGAUGGGAAACAGGUUAAUAUUCCUGUACUUGGUGUUACUGCGAAGGGGGGACGGAGAAGGCUAUGUUGGCCGGGCGACGGUUGUCCCGGUUUAAGCGUGUAGGCUGGUUUUCCAGGCAAAUCCGGAAAAUCAAGGCUGAGGCGUGAUGACGAGGCACUACGGUGCUGAAGCAACAAAUGCCCUGCUUCCAGGAAAAGCCUCUAAGCAUCAGGUAACAUCAAAUCGUACCCCAAACCGACACAGGUGGUCAGGUAGAGAAUACCAAGGCGCUUGAGAGAACUCGGGUGAAGGAACUAGGCAAAAUGGUGCCGUAACUUCGGGAGAAGGCACGCUGAUACGUAGGUGAAGUCCCUUGCGGAUGGAGCUGAAAUCAGUCGAAGAUACCAGCUGGCUGCAACUGUUUAUUAAAAACACAGCACUGUGCAAACACGAAAGUGGACGUAUACGGUGUGACGCCUGCCCGGUGCCGGAAGGUUAAUUGAUGGGGUUAGCGGUAACGCGAAGCUCUUGAUCGAAGCCCCGGUAAACGGCGGCCGUAACUAUAACGGUCCUAAGGUAGCGAAAUUCCUUGUCGGGUAAGUUCCGACCUGCACGAAUGGCGUAAUGAUGGCCAGGCUGUCUCCACCCGAGACUCAGUGAAAUUGAACUCGCUGUGAAGAUGCAGUGUACCCGCGGCAAGACGGAAAGACCCCGUGAACCUUUACUAUAGCUUGACACUGAACAUUGAGCCUUGAUGUGUAGGAUAGGUGGGAGGCUUUGAAGUGUGGACGCCAGUCUGCAUGGAGCCGACCUUGAAAUACCACCCUUUAAUGUUUGAUGUUCUAACGUUGGCCCCUGAUCGGGGUUGCGGACAGUGUCUGGUGGGUAGUUUGACUGGGGCGGUCUCCUCCUAAAGAGUAACGGAGGAGCACGAAGGUUGGCUAAUCCUGGUCGGACAUCAGGAGGUUAGUGCAAUGGCAUAAGCCAGCUUGACUGCGAGCGUGACGGCGCGAGCAGGUGCGAAAGCAGGUCAUAGUGAUCCGGUGGUUCUGAAUGGAAGGGCCAUCGCUCAACGGAUAAAAGGUACUCCGGGGAUAACAGGCUGAUACCGCCCAAGAGUUCAUAUCGACGGCGGUGUUUGGCACCUCGAUGUCGGCUCAUCACAUCCUGGGGCUGAAGUAGGUCCCAAGGGUAUGGCUGUUCGCCAUUUAAAGUGGUACGCGAGCUGGGUUUAGAACGUCGUGAGACAGUUCGGUCCCUAUCUGCCGUGGGCGCUGGAGAACUGAGGGGGGCUGCUCCUAGUACGAGAGGACCGGAGUGGACGCAUCACUGGUGUUCGGGUUGUCAUGCCAAUGGCACUGCCCGGUAGCUAAAUGCGGAAGAGAUAAGUGCUGAAAGCAUCUAAGCACGAAACUUGCCCCGAGAUGAGUUCUCCCUGACUCCUUGAGAGUCCUGAAGGAACGUUGAAGACGACGACGUUGAUAGGCCGGGUGUGUAAGCGCAGCGAUGCGUUGAGCUAACCGGUACUAAUGAACCGUGAGGCUUAACCUU